Long non-coding RNA from Musa acuminata AAA Group (dessert banana), 348 nucleotides. RefSeq lists it as uncharacterized. The transcript has 2 exons. The record is from RefSeq and is a predicted model, not a curated record. NCBI's taxonomy places the organism in Eukaryota, Viridiplantae, Streptophyta, Magnoliopsida, Zingiberales, Musaceae.
CACCACAUCCCAUCAUCUUGUGUUACAGAGAAGGAAAGAGAGAUCAAGCAGCGUGUUUGAUGAUGGAGUGGUGGUGCUUCCCAUGCGGCGAGUUCCGGUCGGCGUCGCCGCCCGUCUCGGCAUCCGAAGGGCCGGGCUGAGGAAGGAGGUGAGGACGUGCACGUCCUGUGGGAGAUGCUGCGGAAGACCGACCCCGAGAUCGGACGGCAGUCGCCGGCAUGCAGCGCGAUCGAACGGCGGCAUGCAGCACGUUUCAUUACAUUGUGACGUUGAGACAUGUUCGAUUGGCUUCGUAGAUGAUGUCAAUGAGGUACUAAAACCAAAAAACUGACAUCUUUUGGGUGCGUA